UACGGGGGGAGCAAGCGUUGUUCGGAUUUACUGGGCGUAAAGGGCGCGUAGGCGGCCAGCACAAGUCAGUUGUGAAAUCUCCGGGCUUAACUCGGAAAGGUCAACUGAUACUGUGCGGCUAGAGUGCAGAAGGGGCAACUGGAAUUCUCGGUGUAGCGGUGAAAUGCGUAGAUAUCGAGAGGAACACCUGCGGCGAAGGCGGGUUGCUGGGCUGACACUGACGCUGAUGCGCGAAAGCAUGGGGAGCGAACAGG
RNAcentral lists this ribosomal RNA (254 nucleotides) under uncultured bacterium. Its description in RNAcentral is "partial 16S ribosomal RNA". It matches the Rfam family "Bacterial small subunit ribosomal RNA", at positions 524 to 776 of the family's 1533-position model. The record is from RNAcentral.